AACCUUUACACUGCACGAGAGUGCGAUAAGGGGACUCCACGUGCGAGGGCAUAUAGUCCUCGCUUUUCUCGACCGUAAGGAGGUCGAGGAAUAAGUGCUGGGCAAGACCGGUGCCAGCCGCCGCGGUAAUACCGGCAGCACGAGUGAUGACCGCUCUUAUUGGGCCUAAAGCGUCCGUAGCUGGCCACGCAAGUCUAUCGGGAAAUCCGCGCGCUCAACGCGCGGGCGUCCGGUGGAAACUGUGUGGCUUGGGACCGGAAGAUCCAGAGGGUACGUCCGGGGUAGGAGUGAAAUCCCGUAAUCCUGGACGGACCACCGGUGGCGAAAGCGCUCUGGAAAGACGGAUCCGACGGUGAGGGACGAAAGCUCGGGUCACGAACCGGAUUAGAUACCCGGGUAGUCCGAGCUGUAAACGAUGUCUGCUAGGUGUGCCACAGGCUACGAGCCUGUGGUGUGCCGUAGGGAAGCCGUGAAGCAGACCGCCUGGGAAGUACGUCCGCAAGGAUGAAACUUAAAGGAAUUGGCGGGGGA
This 531-nucleotide ribosomal RNA is filed under the name uncultured archaeon. RNAcentral describes it as "bacterial SSU rRNA". It matches the Rfam family "Archaeal small subunit ribosomal RNA", at positions 345 to 875 of the family's 1478-position model. The record is from RNAcentral.